Molecule: non-coding RNA, 83 nt
Organism: Hypomontagnella submonticulosa
Lineage: Eukaryota; Fungi; Ascomycota; Sordariomycetes; Xylariales; Hypoxylaceae
Source: the annotation of a GenBank genome assembly
GCGCGGCUGGCUCAAUGGUAGAGCAUCAAGCUUCUAUCAUUUUAGCGACUUGAAGGCUGUGGGUUCGAGUCCCACGUCGCGUG